GAUGAACGCUGGCGGCGUGCCUAAUACAUGCAAGUCGAGCGAACGGACGAGAAGCUUGCUUCUCUGAUGUUAGCGGCGGACGGGUGAGUAACACGUGGAUAACCUACCUAUAAGAAUGGGAUAACUUCGGGAAACCGGAGCUAAUACCGGAUAAUAUUUUGAACCGAAUGGUUCAAAAGUGAAAGACGGUCUUGCUGUCACUUAUAGAUGGAUCCGCGCUGCAUUAACUAGUUGGUAAGGUAACGGCUUACCAAGGCAACGAUGACUAGCCGACCUGAGAGGGUGAUCGGCCACACUGGAACUGAGACACGGUCCAGACUCCUACGGGAGGCAGCAGUAGGGAAUCUUCCGCAAUGGGCGAAAGCCUGACGGAGCAACGCCGCGUGAGUGAUGAAGGUCUUCGGAUCGUAAAACUCUGUUAUUAGGGAAGAACAUAUGUGUAAGUAACUGUGCACAUCUUGACGGUACCUAAUCAGAAAGCCACGGCUAACUACGUG
RNAcentral lists this ribosomal RNA (497 nucleotides) under uncultured bacterium. RNAcentral's name for it is "partial 16S ribosomal RNA". It matches the Rfam family "Bacterial small subunit ribosomal RNA", at positions 28 to 507 of the family's 1533-position model. The record is from RNAcentral.